Molecule: ribosomal RNA, 191 nt
Filed under: Escherichia coli
Lineage: Bacteria; Pseudomonadati; Pseudomonadota; Gammaproteobacteria; Enterobacterales; Enterobacteriaceae
Description: partial 16S ribosomal RNA
Rfam family: Bacterial small subunit ribosomal RNA
Source: RNAcentral
AAAUUGAAGAGUUUGAUCAUGGCUCAGAUUGAACGCUGGCGGCAGGCCUAACACAUGCAAGUCGAACGGUAACAGGAAGCAGCUUGCUGCUUUGCUGACGAGUGGCGGACGGGUGAGUAAUGUCUGGGAAACUGCCUGAUGGAGGGGGAUAACUACUGGAAACGGUAGCUAAUACCGCAUAACGUCGCAAG